GGUUAAUAAUUUAUUUAUUUAUUUUGUUUUUUUGUUUUGAUAAAAAUAUUUUAUUUUUUAGUAUUUUGAAUUAAUAUUUUUUGAUUAUAGUUAAUUUUACUGUUAAGGUUUAUUGUUUGUUUCAAUUUUAAGUAGUUUUUGUUUAAUGUACCUUUUGCAUCUGGGUUUAUUAAAAUAUUAAAAUUAUUAUUUGUUUUCCCGAAAUUUUAAGAUUUAAGGUUAUAUGUAAGUUUUUGUUACAAGAAAAUUUGUAAUUUUUCCUUAGAGGUUACAUGCUUUUCAUUUAAAUUGAUAUCUGGUUUAUUAAUAUAUGAAUUUAAUUCAUUCUUAAUAAUGCUUUAUUUUAAUUUUAUUAAUUAAAGUAUUUUAAGGAAAGAAAUAUAGAGAUAAGCUUAUAUUUUUUGUUAAAAAUGUUUUUUGACAAUUUUUUGUAGGAUUAAGAAUUUCCAUCUUUAUUUUGUUAUAAUUAUGUUUUGUUGGUUUUGAUUUUUGUUUUUUUAAUUUUUUAUUAAUAUUUUUUUUUUAAUUUUAUUUGAUAAAUAAUUAUAAUAUAAUUAGUAAUUUUUAUAAUUUGAAUAUAGUAAUUCGGCAAAUUUUAUUUUCACCUGUUUAACAAAAACAUGUUCUUUUGUUUUUAAUUUAAGAUCGGGCCUGCCCAUUGAUUUUUGGAAUUAAAAGGCUGCGGUAUUUUAACUGUACGAAGGUAGCAUAAUCAUUUGUCUUUUAAUUGGAGGCUAGAAUGAAUGGUUUGAUGAAAAAUAUACUUUCUUUAUUUAAUUAUUUUGAAUUUAAUUUUUUAGUUAAAAAGCUAAAAUUUUUUUAUAGGACGAGAAGACCCUAUAGAAGUUAACUUUAUUUAUAAAUUUAUAUUUUUUGUUUUUUAAAUUUAUUUUUAGAAUGUGAAGUUUUGUUGGGGUGAUAUUAAAAUUUAUUUAACUUUUAAUUUUUAUUUCAUUAAUUUAUGUUAUUUUUGAUCCGGAAUUUUUGAUUAUAAGAAUAACUUACCUUAGGGAUAACAGCGUAAUUUUUUCGGAGAGUUCUUAUCGAUGAAUAAGUUUGCGACCUCGAUGUUGAAUUAAGAUUAGAUUUGGGGGUAAAAUUUCAUUUUUCUUGGUCUGUUCGACCAUUAAAUUCUUACAUGAUUUGAGUUCAGACCGGCGUGAGCCAGGUCGGUUUCUAUCCUUAUUUUAUAUAAGUUAGUACGAAAGGACCAUUUAUAUUAAUUAAAUUAUAAUUUUUGAUUAAAGUUA
Molecule: ribosomal RNA, 1250 nt
Filed under: Gigantometra gigas
Lineage: Eukaryota; Metazoa; Arthropoda; Insecta; Hemiptera; Gerridae
Description: 16S ribosomal RNA
Rfam family: Bacterial large subunit ribosomal RNA (bases 824-1182)
Source: RNAcentral